This is a long non-coding RNA of Zea mays, 213 nucleotides long. RefSeq lists it as uncharacterized. The record is from RefSeq and is a predicted model, not a curated record. NCBI's taxonomy places the organism in Eukaryota, Viridiplantae, Streptophyta, Magnoliopsida, Poales, Poaceae. The transcript has 3 exons.
CAAAUGAGAUUAGCACAACUUCUCCUGUAUCUUACAUGACUGAUGAACAGUGGAGGGCAUUAGUUGCAAAGUGGUCUGAUCCAAAGAACAUGGAAAUAAGUGAAAAGAACAAGCAGAACCGCAGUCAAGUCAAGUUUCAUCAGGCUACGGGUUCUCGCUGCUAUGUGGCACACUUACAUGCAUAUAAGCAGAAGAGAAACCGAGAAGAACCCA